RNAcentral lists this ribosomal RNA (251 nucleotides) under uncultured bacterium. Its description in RNAcentral is "partial 16S ribosomal RNA". It matches the Rfam family "Bacterial small subunit ribosomal RNA", at positions 524 to 776 of the family's 1533-position model. The record is from RNAcentral.
UACAGAGGGUGCAAGCGUUAAUCGGAAUUACUGGGCGUAAAGCGCGCGUAGGUGGUUUGUUAAGUUGGUGUGAAAUCCCCGGGCUCAACCUGGGAACUGCAUUCAAAACUGACAAGCUAGAGUAUGGUAGAGGGUGGUGGAAUUUCCUGUGUAGCGGUGAAAUGCGUAGAUAUAGGAAGGAACGCCAGUGCUGAAGGCGCCCCCAUGGCCUGAUUCUACACUGAGGUGCGAAAGCGUGGGGAGCAAACAGG